Molecule: long non-coding RNA, 6325 nt
Organism: Mesocricetus auratus (golden hamster)
Lineage: Eukaryota; Metazoa; Chordata; Mammalia; Rodentia; Cricetidae
Exons: 2
Source: RefSeq, a predicted model, not a curated record
CAUUUUAGGAACUAUUAGCAGGCACAAAGAAAGGCUUAGAACAGCAGCUUUAAGAGUAACUAGAGCGUGUAGUAGCCAUCCUUUCCACCAGUGUGAGAGACUUGUGGAGACCGAGAUGAAGCAGGAGAAGCUGACGGACUCCAGAACAAAGUCAGGAAAUGAUGACAGCCUCCUUCUAAGAAAGCGAGAAAUCUUCCCGGCCUGCUUCAGAUGGAUACUCAAACCAGGGUUUUAGCAAAACACAUCUGACAGGCACUUCUAGGGACGGAGAGGGUGAUCACAGGUGAACAUGGAAAGCAAUGUGCUGAUCACUCAUAAAGGCCAGUGAACCCAAAGAAACACUGCCUGGUUUCUGUGAUCCUCAUCUUUGGUGUGAGCAAAGCUGGAUGCCUGUAGGCCAAGAGAUGUUCACUCCCUCUUGAAGCUUCCCAGUCCUAGGAUGUCUCCGUUUCCAGGCCAUUCUCCACUUUUAUCCUGCUCGCUGUCCAUGGAGCUGACCUGAGUACAAGGACCCUGUCCCGGAGGGCUUGAAGCACUCUUUAUGUCCCCAGAAGCUGAAGGAAGUGGGGGACUCACUAACCAGCCCAAGAUGGACAUGCAGCGCCUGAUGACAUUUGCUGUGGCUACAGUCUCCCUCGGGUCCAGGUAAACGCUCCUGCCCUUUGUACCUCCACCACCCACUGUCAGCAACCCUGGUGCUCCCUAGCCGCACACAGACAUCAGCAAAUAGUCCUUCAGCGAGUUCUCCUCAGUCCUUCCCCGCCCCCCACACACACACUUGAACGUUGUGUCAUCUGUCUCCAUCUGGAAUUCUGACUCCUAGACUCUAUGAGCCUGAUUGGAGAAAUUUCCAAAAUUUCACUCAGCUUCUGUUCUAGUGAAAAGGUUUUGAGCAAGCACUUUGUAAUGCUUAAACAAUCAAUACUAUUUCCCAAACUUUCUGAAUGCCUGGUAUGCUCGAGGGGCUGGACCAAACUGUCAGUGUGAUGUAAUGACAAUAGCAUCCCUUUGUAACUAUUUUAAAAUCCUUGCUUGCCUGGAAACCAGUGUCCUUAUGAGAAGUGCAUCAACUGAGAUCACAGCAUGGAUAAUUCAGUGGAAGAAGACGUGUUCCUAGGCGGAUUUCAUGCUUUACACGGUCAUUCUUUUGUGUUUACUUGUUAUUUCGUUUUGAGACAGGCAUUUGCUGUGCAAUUUAAGAUGGCCUCCCACUCACAAUCCUCCUGCCUCAGCCUCCCCACUGCUGGGAUUGCAGGCAUGCACCACCACACUUGACUCUGAGUGUCUAUGCUUCAUGGCCUCUUAUGAACGACCAUCAACACAAGGGUAUUGAAGAGAAUAAAGAGCGGCUAUUCCAAGGGCUUGAGAAAAGCAGGGCGCAGGCAUCAGGGAGAAGAGCAGCAGGUCCAGGCAAGAGACUGGGGUGGCUGGGUGAGAGGGUAGCAGUGGGAAAGGUAGAAAAAGAUCGAUUUACAUUUGCCUUCAAGAUGGAGCCAACGGGGGGGGGCACUGCUGUAUGGAAUGGGCAGGAUGGCUAUGGUAAGCCCCAGAGUCCAUCCCCGCGGUGUGGACACAAGCUCCUCACCCAAGGAAGACACAAACCACAUCUAUGUGUAUAUAACUCACUUCCCCAACCCAUCAAUAUCCGUCUUGCAUAAGAGACAGUUUCAUGAGUAACAUGGAGCUUCAGCCGCCCCGUAUCCUUUUCCAACUCAAACCCGGUCUCUCUGAAGGGCUUUGGGGAAGUUCAGUUUUUCCUUGAUGCCCCACCCCCACCACAGUAUUGCGAUACAGUAGCGAAGGAAGUAGAUUCCAGCUGCUGGAGCCUGGAGACAGGAGAAGCCUGGCAUGGGGGACAGGGACAAUGAGGUGGGGACACAGGGGGACACACAGCCGAAGAUGGAGGCUUCAGUAGUAGAAGGCAAUUAAGAUCACAGCUUGGAUCCAAAGUGGCCGUGGGGCUUAUGGGACAUGGAGAUGCAAGGGUUAGACAGUCGAAGCGUCUUAGACAACAGAAGAGCAGGCCAGGAAGGCAGGAUCUGCAUCAGAUGAGGCAGGGGGCCUGCUCAAGACCAAGAGAAUGGCUCUGGAACUCUCCCCAGGGGAGGCUGGAGCCCUUUCCCUUGUUUCUGUCUUGGCAAAGCAGAGCAGAAGAUAAAACAUAUAUCAUGUGGACAGCUCACAGAAUCACUCAUCUGAAAGGAUGCACUUGAAAUACACAUUUUGAUGGAACUAUGAAAUACACAAGGUAAGAAAAUACUCUGUUCAUAGUCCUUCUCUGUCACAUGUACUGCAUAGACAGCUACAUUUCUUUCCAGCCCGUUUCCUAUGUGCAAACGGAAGGCUGAAAUCAAUUUUAUUUUUCUACAUCAGUAUUGCACAUGACUCAGUUAGUCAAGUGCUUGAGGUCCUGAGUUUGGUUCCCCAAAACUCAUGGGAAAAGCUGAGUAUGGUGGGUGUGCCUACAAUCCCAGCAGUGGGAAGACAGACACAGGGAUUCCUGUGGCUUGCUGGCCAGGUGGACUAGCCAAAGCCCUGAGCUCCAGGUUCAGUGAGUGACUUUAUUUUUAAAAUAAGUUGGAGAGAGACUGAGGGAGAUACCUGACAUCAACUUUCUUUUCUACACAUACAUGCGGGUGCAUCUGAACACACAGACUUAGCAUUCAAAACCAAUAAUACGCACCAGUUUGGUCGCCCUCAGAUUUCCUGAUGUCACCUAAGCAGAACAGUUCAGUCCAAGGGUGCUGGGGACGCUGCACUGACAGUGUCUGUUUUAGUGCAGCAUCCUACAGGGUGUUCAAAAGCCACAUGAGUCUCACUUGUAAAAGAUGUUCUACGUUUAAGGAACCAAAACCUAUAACCCGUGACUCCCUGCAUCCAGGAUGGAGUUCAGACUAUAUGGCGAAUUUGUAUUAGAUUAUUAGAGAUAGCAAACUCAUCAAAUUUUGGCACAACACUUUCUUUUUUUCUAGCAUUUGUGAGCCUUUAUUCCGUCCCAGGCCUCAUGGACCUCAUGGAGCGUCUCUGUUUCACAGACACAGAAGCAGAGGCGUGGAGACGUGCUCAGGGCCACAGGGCUGGUCAGUGAAGGAGGUGGGAAGAGGGUGGUGCUCUUGACCAUUCCCCUCCCUUCUUAUGCAACAUGCCUCCCCUGUCACCAGUGGGUUGUGUGACCGCACACACUGCUGAGUCUCUGUGGGUUUCCAAUUUUCUAUUCUUCAGAGGCUGGGUUAGAAGUUCUGCUCUCUGUACUCCCUGAUCCACUUUACCUCCUCAGGAGGCUUUCAGGGAUGCACCCCAUUCCUGGUCACACAGGGUAUCUGUAGGUACCGGGGUUUCUGACUCUGCAGGGAGCUUACAGUCUAGUAGGGGUCAUGAGCGGUGUCACAAGAAAGUGAAUAAUUAAUUCCGCAAGUGCGGUUCAGGGCACAGAGUGAGAAAGCAGCUGAAUGGGUUUUGCUUAUUGGAAAAUGGAUCGUCAUCAUCUUAAAAUGUUUGCUGAAAACCACUUCUCUAUUAGGCAAGGGCUAGACGUGCUUGUUGGUGGACGUGUCAUCAUAUGACUCCAAGUUCGGUCCCAAUUCGUCCAACGUUGAGCUAAGGAGCUGUGGGCAGCUGGCGGAUAUGCAACAUCUCAACAAAAGCAUGAACACUUCGAGGGCGUGUUAGCCUUUCCUUCACACAAUCUAUAUGUUGCAACAUCUGCUCCACACGGAUAUACACGAGAAGGCGAGUGUUAAGGAAGCAGAACUCAGGGGGGCAGCGGUCAGUGGAUUGUGUAGACUUGCUGAGGGAAUCCUGCCGUGGAGAGACUGUGCAAGCUGAAGCUGGGGUUUUCGACGGCAGAGGACUAGCUGUGAGCAGAAACUGUUUGAUCUUGACAGCGAGAGCUGAGCUCGAACCACCCCAAGAGCCAGCGCACAGGAGCGAGCUCUUUAAAGCACUGGGCUUCUUGGCUUCACUAAGCAAGCAGAAGAAUGAGUCUUUGAUUGGCUUAGACUCACCACGUGACCUCUCAGAGCCUAUGGCAGGGGAGGUGGUAUGUCCCAGGAUGUCCCAUCUCCCAUUCUGCCCCGUCUGCUGCUGGGAAAACUCCUCUCUGGCUUUGCGCCUGUACCAUCGUUCAUUCUAACGUUGCAAGGGCAACAGCAUCCGCUUCCAAGGUUUCAACGUUCCAUAGCUGGCAAUGGAUCCUCAGCUCCAGAGACCCAGCUAAGAGCUCUGGAGUCACAUGUGUAGCUGCCCUCUGGGUUCCUGCUUCUCAUCUAAAGUCCCUCAAACCUGCCUCCUACACCUAUUAUUCAGUGAAUGGGCAUCACUGAUGCUCACUGUCUCCCGUUACAAACAGCACUUCCCUUCUCUGUAAUGUCUUUUCAACGCAUUGGGUCACCGUGGGACCUCGGAGCUUGACACUGUCUACCUAUGACAACACUUCCAUGGGCUCCUUGCCUUUUGUUUUUGAACCCAUUCUCCAUACAGUAGCCAAGAGGUACAAAUGAAAUGUGACUUCCCUCACUCUCUGUAGGCGGUCAGCGGCUUCAGUGGCUUAGCCUAAUCAUGGGUUCCCACUGGGGCCCUGCUUAUCUCUCCACUGGUCACUACUAUCGCAGGCCUCUGACGUAGGACUCUGACCUUAGAGAUCAGAAAAAAGAAGAGCUGAAUUUGUUAAAAUGAAAAUCAACACAAUUUCCACUCUUCCCUAGUUCUGAUACAAGUGUUUCUGAUAUCAAUUAAUCUGAGCAAUCUGCUCAGUGACAACAAAGCCACCCAAGAUAAACCCAGAAGAUAAGCAAUGAAAGAAAGAUGGUCUUUUCUGUUUUCCCUGGUUACAGCCAACCACUCCUCCAUUGCUCCCUCACUGGACCUCGCUUGUAACUCUCUUUCGCAGUCUGCGGUUAUCUGUUUAUUUCUUCGGUGUAUCUUUUCCUUUGCACACUGACAUCCUGGGUUUCCGGAAGAUGUGCCUGCCGGUAUCUUCUAUGCAGGACAUAGCUUUGAUGCAAUGCUUCCGGCUGAGGAGAGUCUCAUGAGAAUGCAAUUGUAAUUCUUAAAUCACAGUAGUAGGUCUCUGAUUUUCAUCACAAACAUCUGUUUCUUUAAGACGGCCUGCUGUCAAAGUAUCCCUCUAUGUUACAAAGGAUUAGCGCUCUUACUAAGUGAUUUGCUCAUAGAAACCACUAUAGAGAAGAUCAGUUCCCAAGAGGAAACUUGACCAGAGGCAAUGCCAUACAUCCUAGCAAAGAAGCAAUGCAAAUGUCCGUCAGGUAUGCGGCAGGAGCCCAGUCUCCUGUGUGGAAUGCAGACAGCUGUUGGCAGGAUGUGAGGAAUGGUACUCAAAUAUACUCCUUGUGGGAUGUCAACCUGUUAGAACCUUUCUAGGAGGAAAUCAAGUGAUUCAAAAGGUAGAGUUUUCUACUCUUAAGCCAGCCUUUCCAGGGCCUGUGUGCUUCAGGAAUAAUCAGAUAAGGAUACUUAGUUUAUAAGGGAGCUCGGUAAGUGAAACACUGUUAACAAUCGUUCAAACGCAGAUACAUCAAACUCUCAUCAGUGGUGGCUUGGCUAAACAACUAGUGGAAUACAAUGCAGCAUAGAAGCAGAUCUCUAGAGUUCUGUACUUUUACAAGGACAGAUGGCCGUAGCCCACAAUGUAUUAAGUGAACAGGCGGGUUGUGAAACAUUUUACCACCUACCUCCCCAGCCUCCUUUCCUUUCAUUCAUCUAUCAAGUAGGAAGUGAAAGAGUAUGUAUCAGAUCACAAAUGUCAAUUACCACAGAAUAAAUUUAACUUAUUACUGAUUGCACAUUUUAUUUUCUAUCAGAUCUUGAAGAUUUGGUAAGGAACAUGUAUUGCACUUAGAAUAGCCAAGACGACAAAUACUGCCUUUUGGGGAAAAGGUUUUCUUCUUAAAGGGGCAGUUUGAGAGACUUACCUCUGCAAAUACAUGUCACAACAGUAACAUUUUUUUGUGAGGGACCUCAGAUUGGUGACUUAGUUCUUGUCUGAAAGGUCUCAUAUAAUAUGUGAUCUAUACUGCUUUUUUUCCUCUGUCUUUUACUAAUUCUAAGAAAGUGCAACAUAAAAAAUUUAGUCUGUUCCUACUCCAGCAUAGGGGAAAAUCACACUGUUUUGAACUACCAGUGGAUAACACAUGGAUAAUAGACAUUUCAUGUAGUUCCUCUUCCGUCGGACUCCCCUCAUCUGUCCUUUUAAACAUCUCAGACUACAGAACAAAUUCUUGUAAUGACUGGAUCAAAGUUGUGCAAAUUUGAAAUUUUGAGUUACUGUUGCUUUCUCUAAUAUAAAUGUGCCACCAAGACAAAACUA